This 576-nucleotide ribosomal RNA is filed under the name uncultured eukaryote. RNAcentral's name for it is "SSU rRNA". It matches the Rfam family "Eukaryotic small subunit ribosomal RNA", at positions 174 to 758 of the family's 1831-position model. The record is from RNAcentral.
UAAAAACCCCGACUUCGGAAGGGGUGUAUUUAUUAGAUACAAAACCAAUGCCCUUCGGGGCUCUUUGGUGAUUCAUGAUAACUAUACGAAUCGCACGGCCUUGCGCCGGCGAUGGUUCAUUCAAAUUUCUUCCCUAUCAACUUUCGAUGUUUGGGUAUUGGCCAAACAUGGUUGCAACGGGUAACGGAGGGUUAGGGCUCGACCCCGGAGAAGGAGCCUGAGAAACGGCUACUAUAUCCAAGGAAGGCGGCAGGCGCGCAAAUUACCCAAUCCCGACUCGGGGAGGUAGUGACAAUAAAUACUGAUACAGGGCCCUUUCGGGCCUUGUAAUUGGAAUGAGUACAAUUUAAAUCCCUUAACGAGGAACAAUUGGAGGGCAAGUCUGGUGCCAGCAGCCGCGGUAAUUCCAGCUCCAAUAGCGUAUAUUAAGGUUGUUGUGGUUAAAAAGCUCGUAGUUGAACCUUGGGCCUGGCUGGCCGGUCCGCCUCACCGCGUGCACUGGUCCGGCCGGGCCUUUCCCUCUGUGGAACCCCAUACCCUUCACUGGGCGUGGCGGGGAAACAGGACAUUUACUUU